GAAAUGCGAUAAGUAAUGUGAAUUGCAGAAUUCAGUGAAUCAUCGAAUCUUUGAACGCACCUUGUGCUCCUUGGUAUUCCUUGGAGCAUGCCUGUUUGAGUAUCAUGAAAUCUUCAAAGUAAAUCUUUUGUUAACUCAAUUGGUUUCUACUUUGGUAUUGGAGGUCUUUGCAGCUUCACACCUGCUCCUCUUUGUUCAUUAGCUGGAUCUCAGUGUUAUGCUUGGUUCCACUCGGCGUGAUAAGUUAUCUAUCGCUGAGGACACUGUAAAAGGUGGCCAAGGUAAAUGCAGAUGAACCGCUUCUAAUAGUCCAUUGACUUGGACAAUACUUUUAUGAUCUGAUCUCAAAUCAGGUAGGACUACCCGCUGAACUUAAGCA
RNAcentral lists this unclassified non-coding RNA (379 nucleotides) under plant metagenome. RNAcentral describes it as "partial contains 5.8S ribosomal RNA, internal transcribed spacer 2, and large subunit ribosomal RNA". The stretch from base 1 to 105 matches the Rfam family "5.8S ribosomal RNA", at positions 50 to 154 of the family's 154-position model. The record is from RNAcentral.